RNAcentral lists this ribosomal RNA (903 nucleotides) under uncultured bacterium. RNAcentral's name for it is "bacterial SSU rRNA". It matches the Rfam family "Bacterial small subunit ribosomal RNA", at positions 8 to 916 of the family's 1533-position model. The record is from RNAcentral.
AGAGUUUGAUCCUGGCUCAGGAUUAACGCUGGCGGCGUGCAUAACACAUGCAAGUCGAACGAUGAAACUUUAAUGAACCCUUCGGGGAGAAUUAAAGCGGAUUAGUGGCGAACGGGUGAGUAACGCGUGAGUAACCUGCCUUACACAAGGGGAUAGCCUUUGGAAACGAAGAAUAAUACCCUAUAAAACCAUAAAAGCACAUGCAAUUAUGGUCAAAGUAUUAGCGGUGUAAGAUGGACUUGCGUCUGAUUAGCUAGUUGGUGAGAUAAAAGCCCACCAAGGCAACGAUCAGUAGCCGGCUUGAGAGAGUGUACGGCCACAUUGGGACUGAGACACGGCCCAGACUCCUACGGGAGGCAGCAGUGGGGAAUUUUGCACAAUGGGGGAAACCCUGAUGCAGCGACGCCGCGUGAUUUAGAAGGCCUUCGGGUUGUAAAAAUCUUUUGUAUAGGAAGAAAAUGACAGUACUAUACGAAUAAGGUCCGGCUAAUUACGUGCCAGCAGCCGCGGUAAUACGUAAGGACCGAGCGUUGUCCGGAAUCAUUGGGCGUAAAGGGUACGUAGGCGGCUAGAAAAGUUAAAAGUCAAAGGCUAUAGCUCAACUAUAGUAAGCUUCUAAAACUAUUUAGCUUGAGAGAUGGAAGGGAAAGUGGAAUUCCUAGUGUAGCGGUGGAAUGCGCAGAUAUUAGGAGGAAUACCGGUGGCGAAGGCGACUUUCUGGCCAUUUUCUGACGCUGAGGUACGAAAGCGUGGGUAGCAAACAGGAUUAGAUACCCUGGUAGUCCACGCCGUAAACGAUGAGUGUUAGGUGUCUGGAGUCAAAUCUGGGUGCCGCAGCAAACGCAUUAAACACUCCGCCUGGGGGAGUACGCACGCAAGUGUGAAACUCAAAGGAAUUGACGG